This 69-nucleotide transfer RNA is filed under the name Ictidomys tridecemlineatus (thirteen-lined ground squirrel). RNAcentral describes it as "Spermophilus tridecemlineatus (thirteen-lined ground squirrel) tRNA". It matches the Rfam family "tRNA". Rfam says of the family: Transfer RNA (tRNA) molecules are approximately 80 nucleotides in length. Their secondary structure includes four short double-helical elements and three loops (D, anti-codon, and T loops). The record is from Rfam by way of RNAcentral. Lineage: Eukaryota; Metazoa; Chordata; Mammalia; Rodentia; Sciuridae.
GGGGUUGUGGCUCAGUGGUAGAGUGCUCGCCUAGCAUGUGCGCGGCCCUGGGUUCAAUCCUCAGCACCA